AGGAUGCUGAAUGCAAACAUUUGAAGAUCCAUGGUGAGACUGGAAGAGAUGGAGAACAUCAAAGUGUUAGCUCUGAACAACAGGAAGUUUCAAAUUUGUGUCAAAACGAGGUCCAAAGCUCAGACGGAGACACAGGAUCACUAAGUCAGCCUCCCACCAAAAAAGCAGGGGAGCUUUCUGCUGGACUUUCUGAACACCUGAAGCAGCCAAGUACCUCACAGACAGACGAUGCCGCAUCAGCUGGUCACUCAUAUGGUUUUCACAGCGCUGAAAACUUGGGAUCAUGUCAGACACAUACAGAAACACGUACUCCUUCUGAUGUUAUUUCAGAUAUGACGCAAACAGAUGAAAUCUUUGAUGUACCUGUGAGUGAAAAACUGGCAGAACCUGAGCAGCUGCUGGAAAGCUUAGAGCAGAAAGAUGGGCAGCGGAAGUCUGUGGUAACUGUUGAAGGAAAGGGUGAUCCAAGUGUAGAGAACAGAAGAAAAGAUGAAUCAAGUGUAGAUACGAAUGUCUAUCAAACACCUAUGGAAGAAUCCCACUUAAAAGAUGGCAAUGUUAAUAUUACGAUGGGUGCCAUAACCCUUGAUUCUGAGGUGAAAAGUGAGCAUAUAAAGGACACAGAAGAUACAAAGAAGACUAAAAGUGAAACAGAUCCGAAGCUGCCACUCGUUACAAGUCUGGGUCACAAGCAGCCUGAGUUAGGAGAGAAGCUGCUGAGUGAUUGUGGCAAGUCGUCUCUGCCCAGCAAAAAGACUUACAGGCCAUUAUUUGAGUGGGCCGCUGCCGAGAGAAGAAAGUCAAACUCCAGAACAAAGUCAGAUGUCACCAUAGCGCACCAGCCAAUCCAGGGAUCUUCUCUGUCUGAGCAGAAUACAACUGCUGGAUUCCCAGGACAUCCUGCCAGCACAAUAAUACCCAAGCCCCUCAAAAGCAAACACGACAAUGUCCCCUUGGUGAUUAUGAGGGCGUCAGACCUGUUGAAUGCCUCCAGUGUCUGUGGGACCGCACCUUCCCUGAGGAGAAAGCAGCAGGGACUCUGGGAAGCAGUGCAGGAGACCUGCAGAGAGAGAACAGCAGCAGAUACGGAUGGCAGAGCUCCUCCGCCAAGCUGUUCUUUUCCAGCCUCCAGCACAGGCAGCAAACUGUCAUGGCAAACCACUGCAGAGUGUAGCAGAGCUCCUACCUUAGCUGCAGGACCUAGUUCAGAGUCCAACUGGGAACUCUCCUGCUCCCAGGAGAGGGACGAUCAACAGGAAUCAUUCAGGGCGCAGAUCUCAAAAAUCGAACAGUUCCUCAAGACAGAGAGACUCCGUCUGCCCAAAAGACAACGAACUGAACCAAAUCUGUAGAAACUGCUGGUCGUCUUUAUUCGCUGUCCUAGGUGAGACAUUGUGUGGCACACGUUUGACAGUUAUUGUUAGCGCAGGUCUAAAUGUUCUGAAACAUAAUUGCUUUUUAAUAUAUACAUGUGUUACUGAUUCCUUUGAACUGUAUAGUUUCUUCUAACAUUGCUGUUUGAAGUUUAAAGUUUUUUGGGUCAAAUCAUUAAUUCUUCACUUUAUUGUUAUUUUAACAUUUCUGUGCUUUAAAUGGAAAACUGCAGAGUUUGUGUGUUUGUUUCACACGUGUGUAUUUUUAUGUUUUUAAGUGAAGAGAUGAAAAUAAGAUAAGAUAGCCUUUCUAAGUGACAAAUAUACAAUACUACUACUGCUACGUUGGUAAGAUUUUAUUUUAUCACACAGUUGCAUGUGAUUUAAGUAAUUUUAAAAAGGCUCUGAUGUCACCAGUGUAAAAAUCCAACAUUUCCAA
Long non-coding RNA from Astatotilapia calliptera (eastern happy), 1812 nucleotides. The record is from Ensembl. Lineage: Eukaryota; Metazoa; Chordata; Actinopteri; Cichliformes; Cichlidae.